Molecule: ribosomal RNA, 460 nt
Filed under: uncultured bacterium
Lineage: Bacteria
Description: partial 16S ribosomal RNA
Rfam family: Bacterial small subunit ribosomal RNA
Source: RNAcentral
CCUACGGGCGGCAGCAGUGAGGAAUAUUGGUCAAUGGGCGUAAGCCUGAACCAGCCAAGUCGCGUGAGGGAUGAAGGUUCUAUGGAUCGUAAACCUCUUUUAUAAGGGAGUAAAGUGCGGGACGUGUCCCGUUUUGUAUGUACCUUAUGACUAAGGAUCGGCUAACUCCGUGCCAGCAGCCGCGGUAAUACGGAGGCUCCGAGCGUUAUCCGGAUUUAUUGGGCUUAAAGGGUGCGUAGGCGGCCUUUUAAGUCAGCGGUGAAAGUCUGUGGCUCAACCAGAGAAUUGCCGUGGAAACUGGGAGGCUUGAGUAUGGUAGAGGCAGGCGGAAGGCGAGGUGUAGCGGUGAAAUGCGUAGAGAUCAGGAAGAACCCCGAUGGCGAAGGCAGCCUGCCAAGCCAUGACUGACGCUGAUGCACGAAAGCGUGGGGAGCAAACAGGAUUAGAUACCCGUGUAGUC